GACGAACGCUGGCGGCGUGCUUAACACAUGCAAGUCGAACGCUGAAGCCCUUUCGGGGGUGGAUGAGUGGCGAACGGGUGAGUAACACGUGGGUAAUCUGCCCUGUACUUCGGGAUAAGCCUUGGAAACGGGGUCUAAUACCGGAUAGGACCUGUCCUCGCAUGGGGGUGGGUGGAAAGUUCCGGCGGUAUGGGAUGAGCCCGACGGCCUAUCGGCUUGUUGGUGGGGUGAUGGGCUACCAAGGCGACGACGGGUAGCCGGCCUGAGAGGGUGGCCGGUCACACUGGGACUGAGAAACGGCCCAGACGCCUACGGGAGGCGGCAGUGGGGAAUCUUGCGCAAUGGGCGAAAUCCUGACGCAGGAACGCCGCGUGGGGGAUGACGGCCUUCGGGUUGUAAACCUCUUUCGGUAUCGACGAAGGGGGCCUUGUUGGGGCUCUGACGGUAGGUGCAGAAGAAGCACCGGCUAACUACGUGCCAGCCGCCGCCGUAA
RNAcentral lists this ribosomal RNA (493 nucleotides) under uncultured bacterium. RNAcentral's name for it is "partial 16S ribosomal RNA". It matches the Rfam family "Bacterial small subunit ribosomal RNA", at positions 28 to 523 of the family's 1533-position model. The record is from RNAcentral.